RNAcentral lists this transfer RNA (90 nucleotides) under Rhodospirillaceae bacterium. Its description in RNAcentral is "tRNA-Ser". It matches the Rfam family "tRNA". From Rfam's summary of the family: Transfer RNA (tRNA) molecules are approximately 80 nucleotides in length. Their secondary structure includes four short double-helical elements and three loops (D, anti-codon, and T loops). Further hydrogen bonds mediate the characteristic L-shaped molecular structure. tRNAs have two regions of fundamental functional importance: the anti-codon, which is responsible for specific mRNA codon recognition, and the 3' end, to which the tRNAs corresponding amino acid is attached (by aminoacyl-tRNA synthetases). tRNAs cope with the degeneracy of the genetic code in two manners: having more than one tRNA (with a specific anti-codon) for a particular amino acid; and 'wobble' base-pairing, i.e. permitting non-standard base-pairing at the 3rd anti-codon position. Lineage: Bacteria; Pseudomonadati; Pseudomonadota; Alphaproteobacteria; Rhodospirillales; Rhodospirillaceae. RNAcentral also lists the same sequence under 1 other name. The record is from RNAcentral.
GGAGAGGUGGCCGAGUGGUUGAAGGCGCACGCUUGGAAAGCGUGUAUACGAGCAAUCGUAUCGAGGGUUCGAAUCCCUCUCUCUCCGCCA